Molecule: ribosomal RNA, 497 nt
Filed under: uncultured bacterium
Lineage: Bacteria
Description: partial 16S ribosomal RNA
Rfam family: Bacterial small subunit ribosomal RNA
Source: RNAcentral
GAUGAACGCUGGCGGCGUGCCUAAUACAUGCAAGUCGAGCGAACGGACGAGAAGCUUGCUUCUCUGAUGUUAGCGGCGGACGGGUGAGUAACACGUGGAUAACCUACCUAUAAGACUGGGAUAACUUCGGGAAACCGGAGCUAAUACCGGAUAAUAUUUUGAACCGCAUGGUUCAAAAGUGAAAGACGGUCUUGCCGUCACUUAUAGAUGGAUCCGCGCUGCAUUAGCUAGUUGGUAAGGUAACGGCUUACCAAGGCAACGAUGCAUAGCCGACCUGAGAGGAUGAUCGGCCACACUGGAACUGAGACACGGUCCAGACUCCUACGGGAGGCAGCAGUAGGGAAUCUUCCGCAAUGGGCGAAAGCCUGACGGAGCAACGCCGCGUGAGUGAUGAAGGUCUUCGGAUCGUAAAACUCUGUUAUUAGGGAAGAACAUAUGUGUAAGUAACUGUGCACAUCUUGACGGUACCUAAUCAGAAAGCCACGGCUAACUACGUG